UGUCUAUGAGUAAAAUAUCGAGAACAAGUAGUGGUUUUAUAGAAUGCCCGACAGAAUUGAACAGUAUAUAGAUAAAUCCUGAGCUUAACUGAGCAGGGAAAAACCGUUUAGAUUAAAGUACUAAUAAUACUGAUAUUGAGUGCGCACAUAUUUUAUAAAUACCUUGAAUACGACAAAAUGAAUUCAGCUUCGAUUCCGAAUACGCCAGAAAGGUGCUCGUACGAUAGGAAACGUAUUUCCUCGGAAUCACUAUUUUAAUAAAACACACAUCCGCGCGUAAACUCAUGAAUGUAUGUAAGUGUGUAUGUAUGUAUAUAUGUGUGUAUAUAAUUGUAUGAAUAUAAUCGUAUAUAUAUAUAUAUAUAUAUAUAUAUAUAUAUAUAUAUAUAUAUGUAAUUAUAAACUCUGUUUCAUGUAUUGAUUUCUCUCUCAUUUGUGAACAAAAUAAGCAAAAGCUUAUAUACAGACACAUCCACACACAGUAUAUGUGUGUGUUUGCGUCUGUGUAUUUGUGAAUUUGUGAAUGCGGGUGAAUGGGUGCACUAGUAUUUGUGUAUGAAUGCGUGGACGUGUAUGCCAUGUAUGCACACAAACACAAAUUCAUACAUUGCUACAUGCAUGCCAUGCAUAAAUUGAAAUAUAUGUAUAUUUUAAAAUAUAUCUAUAAACAUACAUAUAUAGAAUAUAUAUACACAAUAUUUAUUAUAGAUAUAUAUAUAUAUAUAUAUAUAUACAAUAUAUAUAUAUAUAUAUCGGCGGCAAAUUUAGAAACUACAUUGCAUGAAGCGAUAAUGAGACAAUAAUAUAAGCAGCGAACAAUCCCUUUUAAUCGGAUGUAUUGGCAACAGCUGGGACACAAAUACGCCUUCCUCGCUGUAUUCAUAAUCUCCAAACGGCUUAAUCAUAUCAUAUUGUUGGAAGAUAUUCUUUGUGCUCAUAUUCUUUUUCAUAUCAUAAGUGCAUUGCCAUUUCGUGUUUUAAGUGAUAAGUGUGAGUGAGUGAGGAGUGAAGAAAAAAAUAAAGGAAAUUGGGAAUGUUUUUAGAAAAAAAAAAAAAAAAAGAAAAAAUACAUGCGAAGAUUUCUUUCCCAAAUCUAGCAAAAUUUGUGAUUGCCUUUGCGGUGUGCUUAGAAAUAUUCUGUUAUUUGAUGCGAACGAAAAAAUAAAAUAAUAAUAAUAAUAAAAAAAUGUAUCUUAGGUUAUUAUUAAUAGGCAAGGAUUUGUGCUGUUUUGGUCUGAAAGAUCCUGUGUUUGCAGGAGUCUUAGUUGGAGAACUCUCUAUAUCAAGAGGACUGCACCUUCUGUGUGUCUGCAUAUUUUGAAUGCUAUAUAUAACUUAUAUCUUAUUUCAGUUUCCUCUCUUUUUCGUUCAUCUUUAUAUGUAAAUACCCAGAAAAAUUAAAAACUGUAAUGUCCCCCUCAUAUGAUGCAACUGUAGAAAAAAUUACUAUUAUUAUUAUUAUUAUUAUUAAUACUAUUUUUGUUGAGUGAGAGAGCAGCACAUGCCACAUGCCAUGAAAAUGACACUGGGGUAAAAUAUACGAAUAUUAUUAUUAUUAUCAUCAUCAAUCAUCAAGGCGGCGAACUGGCAGUAUCGUUAACACGCCGGACAAAAUGCUUAGCAACAUUUCACACGUCUUUACGUUCUGAUUUCACAUGCCGCCGAGGUCAUCCUUUCGGGGUCAAUUAAAUGACUUUCAUUUUUCAUCCUUUCGGGAAUUAAAUGAGUACCAGUUGAGCACUGGGGUCGAUGGAAUCAACUUAUACCCUCCCCUGAAAUUGUUGAUCUCGUGCCAAAAAUUGAAACCAUUCCAUUAUUAUUAUUAUAAAAUUUGUACGAGCUACACCCAUGUCUGAACCAAAGACGAAAAAGGACAAGUUUUUAUAUCUGAAGAUGCAAACGGUUGAGGUGCCGUUUAGUUAGAUAAAACUGAGGUCUGUACGUUAUAAGACCUUUUUCAUAACAUUUAUAAUCAAAUUCAAUAACUAUGAUUGUAUUUAGAUGGAAAGAAAUUUACGUUAGAUAUGUAGGGUACCUAUAAGCAUGAUCUUUAUACUCGGUUAUGUUCUGCAUCAAAAUUCUACACGAAUCGAUUUUGAUAAAAUAGGAACCAGUUAGGUUUUAGUAUCGAUCUGUUCGACUAUACCCUAUCCCUGGAAUGUGUGGUCCUGUGAUAGCUGCCACCUUCUCUUGGUAGGGAACGACAAGCCGUUUCAUCUGUCAAGUACCUUGUCGUAUAGUAAACAAGCACGAAACGUUUGAGAACGGGUGUCUUUUUUUCAUACGACCUCGUCAUUUUAUUCAAGAAAUGUCUGAAGCGGAAGGGGAAAGUGGAGAGGUGAGUUCUGUCUCAGUAAAUUUACUCAAAAGUGGAUGAGAUUGGAGGCUUUGAGUGGCUGGAUAGAUGUAUUAUGGGUGUAUAU
Molecule: long non-coding RNA, 2423 nt
Filed under: Octopus vulgaris (common octopus)
Lineage: Eukaryota; Metazoa; Mollusca; Cephalopoda; Octopoda; Octopodidae
Source: RNAcentral